CAAUAGCGUAUAUUUAAGUUGUUGCAGUUAAAAAGCUCGUAGUUGGAUUUCGGUUGAGAACGGCCGGUCCGCCGUUUGGUGUGCACUGGCUGGUUUCAACUUCCUGUAGAGGACGCGCUCUGGCUUCACGGCUGGACGCGGAAUCUACGUGGUUACUUUGAAAAAAUUAGAGUGUUCAAAGCGGGCUUACGCUUGAAUAUUUCAGCAUGGAAUAACACUAUAGGACUCCUGUCCUAUUUCGUUGGUCUCGGGACGGGAGUAAUGAUUAAGAGGAACAGUUGGGGGCAUUCGUAUUUCAUUGUCAGAGGUGAAAUUCUUGGAUUUAUGAAAGACGAACUUCUGCGAAAGCAUUUGCCAAGGAUGUUUUCAUUA
Molecule: ribosomal RNA, 372 nt
Filed under: uncultured eukaryote
Lineage: Eukaryota
Description: partial 18S ribosomal RNA
Rfam family: Eukaryotic small subunit ribosomal RNA
Source: RNAcentral